RNAcentral lists this ribosomal RNA (500 nucleotides) under uncultured bacterium. RNAcentral's name for it is "partial 16S ribosomal RNA". It matches the Rfam family "Bacterial small subunit ribosomal RNA", at positions 28 to 507 of the family's 1533-position model. The record is from RNAcentral.
GACGAACGCUGGCGGCGUGCUUAACACAUGCAAGUCGAACGGGUCUGCCCUGUUUUUUGCGGGGUGGGUCAGUGGCGAACGGGUGAGUAACACGUGAGUAACCUGCCCCUCACUUCUGGAUAACCGCUUGAAAGGGUGGCUAAUACGGGGUGUUCUGGCUGUGCCGCAUGGUGUGGCUGGGAAAGAUUCACUUUUGUGGUGUUUUGGUGGGGGAUGGGCUCGCGGCCUAUCAGCUUGUUGGUGGGGUGAUGGCCUGCCAAGGCUUUGACGGGUAGCCGGCCUGAGAGGGUGGGCGGUCACAGUGGGACUGAGAUGCGGCCCAGACUCCUGCGGGAGGCAGCAGUGGGGGGUAUCGCACAAUGGGCGGAAGCCUGAGGCAGCGACGUCGCGUGAGGGAUGGAGGCCUUCGGGUUGUGAACCUCUUUCGCCGGUGAAGAAGGUCCUGCUCUUUGUGGUGGGGUUGACGGUAGCCGGGUUAUGAAGCGCCGGCUAACUACGUG